UACGUAGGGGGCAAGCGUUGUCCGGAAUUACUGGGCGUAAAGGGCGUGUAGGCGGCCGACCAAGUCCGGUGUGAAAAUCCAGGGCUCAACCCUGGACGUGCAUUGGAAACUGGUUGGCUUGAGUGCAGGAGAGGAAAGUGGAAUUCCCAGUGUAGCGGUGAAAUGCGUAGAUAUUGGGAGGAACACCAGUGGCGAAGGCGACUUUCUGGCCUGUAACUGACGCUGAGGCGCGAAAGCUAGGGGAG
This 245-nucleotide ribosomal RNA is filed under the name uncultured Dethiobacter sp. RNAcentral describes it as "partial 16S ribosomal RNA". It matches the Rfam family "Bacterial small subunit ribosomal RNA", at positions 524 to 768 of the family's 1533-position model. The record is from RNAcentral. Lineage: Bacteria; Bacillati; Bacillota; Dethiobacteria; Dethiobacterales; Dethiobacteraceae.